Brassica oleracea var. oleracea is the source of this 593-nucleotide long non-coding RNA. RefSeq lists it as uncharacterized. Lineage: Eukaryota; Viridiplantae; Streptophyta; Magnoliopsida; Brassicales; Brassicaceae. The record is from RefSeq and is a predicted model, not a curated record. The transcript is spliced from 3 exons.
UCUAUCGUGUUAUUCGAGCUCUGGAUAAUUAGAGUGGCAAUGGAGUUUCGGGAGGGUGAUGUGAGAUGAAUUUUCAUGACGAAAUUCUGGAUCUAGCUCCGUUCGUAUCCAUCCGUUCAAACUCUGCGUUUCAUUAAUAGGAUUCGAUCUCCGACAACAACGACUAAGUUCAUAUCCUGACACCAACAAUGGAGUCGUCUUUAAUUGUGUCGUUUUGUCUUCCGUCAUAAUCAAUCAAAACAUUCUGAUUACAGAUUCAUCGCUUUUAUCACCUUCUUAACUCCAUCGACCCACAUCAAUCACGAUCUGACAUUCAAUGCAACUUGCUCUUCUGCAAGGCCGUGUAUCUACACCUAUAAAAGGUAAGCCUUCUUCCCUUCCAAAUCAUCCUCUCAAUUCCUGAAAAAUUUUUAGAAAACUUAGGUUUGGUGAAACGGCCAACUCUCCAGCUCGCUUUCCUUCCACCAUUGAGUUUGAUGAGUUCCAAUAAGCGGUUUCAGUCUAGCUAAUGGUUUUAAAGACGAAACAGGCAUCUUGAGUUUACCUUCGCUAUGGAGACUCAGGUUGCGAAGAUAGAUCCCACCUAUAAAAAG